Molecule: ribosomal RNA, 418 nt
Filed under: uncultured bacterium
Lineage: Bacteria
Description: bacterial SSU rRNA
Rfam family: Bacterial small subunit ribosomal RNA
Source: RNAcentral
UCUUGGUCAAUGGGCGCAAGCCUGAACCAGCGAUGCCGCGUGAGUGAUGAAGGCCUUCGGGUUGUAAAGCUCUGUGGGGAGGGACGAAAGAAUCGGUUCUAAUAGGACCGAAGUUGACGGUACCUCCUUAGCAAGCACCGGCUAACUCUGUGCCAGCAGCCGCGGUAAUACAGAGGGGGCAAGCGUUAUUCGGAAUUAUUGGGCGUAAAGGGCGCGUAGGCGGCUUUUCAAGUGACGGGUGAAAUCCCUCGGCUUAACCGAGGAACUGCCUGUCAGACUGGAAGGCUUGAGACCGGGAGAGGUGAGUGGAAUUCCCAGUGUAGCGGUGAAAUGCGUAGAUAUUGGGAGGAACACCGGUGGCGAAGGCGGCGAUCUGGACGAUGACUGACGCUGAGACGCGAAAGCGUGGGGAGCAAAC